Long non-coding RNA from Gadus chalcogrammus (walleye pollock), 5517 nucleotides. RefSeq lists it as uncharacterized. The record is from RefSeq and is a predicted model, not a curated record. The transcript is spliced from 8 exons. Lineage: Eukaryota; Metazoa; Chordata; Actinopteri; Gadiformes; Gadidae.
UUUCACAUAAGAGGGGAACGGACAAUACAUUUGUGUCCUCCACUGUUUGGCAGUUUAUCGUCUCCCAAACACGGUUAAAGACUUUUUGAAGUAAAGAGGAGCAUCUCAUCUGGACCUGAUGUCUAUCAUGGAUAUCUAACUGCAGUACUGUGAGUAUCCCAACUUUAACAUGAAGAUGAAUUGCAAACUGUAAGUCAUUAGUUUCUCAUUACUCUUGGGCACAUUGAUGUAUGUUGGCUUCCUGGUGAGUUAACCCGUUAGCUGAAAGUUGAUCUGAUUAGUAAGGAUCUUUUAUUGGUUCAUGGGUUACUUAGGCGUUUGGUUUAUGUUGGUUUUAAUGGUUUGUUAAAAUGGUUUCAGGUUCUAAGUUAUUGUUGUAAGCUGGAGUAAUGAGUUGGGUUCUGAUGUCUUCAGUCUUCUUUCCUGCUACUCUCCUGAGCUCUGCAUCUUCAUUACAUGAGUGUUGCUGUACUGAGGAGGGUGUGGUCUGAGUGAGCAGAGGUGCAUACUGGGAUACAGAGCUGUCUGAAGUCUACAGGUCUGUAGACACGCCCCCUCAGGGGAAACCGAGUGUUUGAGAAACCGUCGUGACGUCAGUUACAUGGACUGGAAUGUUCUUUAAGAUGGAGACAGGGAUGCAGAAGGAGAAACACCAGGGGGAGAUGAGGGGGCUCCUCAUCUCAACAACUUCAACACAACUUCAGUCUGACACAGAGAACCAUGGAACACUUUCAACAGUCCCCUCCAGGCAUCGUGACUCCUCAGGAACAGUUUCAUUUCAGAGAAGGUCUCAUUUGGUGCCAUUCCAAGAUGGAUCCUGCUCCUCAAGAGCCACCCCCCUCCACUGGGUGGUCUUCUGAACAGAUGAUCUCCUUCCUGUCCUCAGGCUGACUAAAGCUGCACCGUUUGCAUCUGUGAAGGCCCCUCAAUCACUAAACCACUGGACUACAAACACAAGACUUCAGAGAUGUUGAAACAGCGUGCAUGGAGACACCAAGCAUAAUCCAUCACCAAUGUGGGACGCCACUGAAGAAUGACAUACAUAAUUUACGUCUCUGGAGAUAUUGGUGGUUCUGUUCUGGGUGCCCUGACAGAAGAGCUGGGGGUGGAUGAUGGAAUGGUAUUUGGCAUGAGGUUUUUACCCUGCAUGAGUGUUUGGUCUUUUAUGGCUGCUUUUUAUGGUGUGUGUGUGUGGGUUUGACAUGAGAUGGAAAAAUGUUGAGCAUCGUUAGGGUUCUACUGUGUGUGUGUGUGUGUCCCACUCACACCCGGCACGGGGUUCUACGUGUGUUUCCUUGGUUCUGCGUCCUGCUUGCUUUGACAUUGAUCAUUUUCUUACGGGGGUCUGUGUGAUUGGCUUGGUGUAUUGGAAUGGUCAGUUAAUUCAUACCUGCUGGACGGCCACACGUUUACUUGAGGCCUCCAGGGGACAUGAAGAGCCCUGAGCGACGCUCCGGAGCGAUAUCCUACACACUGGGCAGGAAGGAGAGUAUCCAAAUCAAGUGUAAAAGGAUGCAAGCGGCAUGUUCAGAUCAGCGACUUCAAACUAGGACUACACCAAUCAGGAUCAAUGGAGGAUGGACGCCUAAAGGCAUUCCACAAGGACUCUGAAGUUGGAAAGGAACCUCAAUGGAUGUUCAAGAUGACCUUCAGACCUGUAAUGAGGCGGAUCUUCCUAACUGGCUGGAUUGAUGGAGAGCCCUGUGGAUCUUGUCUUGCUCUCAGUUGCACGUCUUCUCAGGCUGAACUGUAUUUGCUGUACAGGACUAGCUGAACGAUCGGUUCCCUUAAAUCAGAACCAAUCUGGGAACUCCAACUAGUGCGCUCUUCAAGCUGAAGUUGUGCUCUUCAGCUGAGGAGGCAAGGAAACCUUCACUGGGGCUACAAUGUGUAUAGAGGAGACCGUUUCGAAGUGUUCCAUGGUACUCUGAUGAAGACCGUUGAUGUGUUUCACUGGCUGAGAGGAAGAACCCUCACAUCCUCCUCUUGGCCUUUCUCCUCUGAGAAUCCUGGUGCUAUCUUGAAGAAUAUUCCAGCUCAUGUAACUGAUGUCACGACAGAUUCUCAAACACUUGGUUUCUCCUGAGGGGCGUGUCUAUAGAACUGAAGACUUCAGACAGCACUGUAUCCCAGCACGCAUCUCUGCUCACUCAGACCACACCCUCAUGAGUAGGAUGCAACACUAUAGCGAUGGAGAUGUAGAGUUUUAUAAGUAAAGAGGGAGCAGACAACGAUGAUUCGAACACAAUUACAAUUUAAGUCUUUAAAUCUGUAAACCAUGAAGAUGGUUGGAUAGUUCAGGAAUUGGGCUUAAUUUUAUUAUGGGCAGUCCUUUCGCUCAAAUGCCCACUUCUCACUGGACCUGUACAUGUGUUGGUUGGCUGGCAUGAUUUGCUGUUGGUAGUGAGGCGGUCAGGGUGACAUUGCUUGGCUAUGGUCGGCUCUCUGUGAGCUCACUGUUUAGAUUUGAUCUGUAUGGUUUGUACCCUGAAUAUCAAGAUAAUUGUUGUUUUUAAUUUUAGUUGUGAGUUGAGGUUUAAAGUUGUUGUGAAACGUACAUGGUGGUUCGGUUCUUCGUACGGUUUUGAGUAGGGGUGCAACGGAUCAUCAUUGAUCCGUGAUCCGUUCGGAUCAUCUAUUUCGGUUCGGCACACGCAUGAUCCGCGGAUUGAUUUAUGAAAAAAAAAUUUGCGCAUGUUCAGUCCACACACAGCCGUAACCAUUCCUGCUAGUUCCAGGGACAGAGCUACUUAACACGCUCUGGGUAAAAGUCCGCAACAGUUCCCUUUUCAAUAAGCAAACAGUCCUAUGGCUCGUUGUGAUUUAUUGUCCUCAGCGUACAACAUGAAGAACAGUGGGCAUGGAAAAUAAAAGUAGGCUAGACUUCGGUGACUACUGUAACGAUAACUGCUGCCUCCAGUGCUACGUCUGUUUCCAUACUCGCGCUGCCACACAAACCUGUCGCCUAGGUUACCACACAGACGUAACACAUAGCUGACAUAGCUAUUGCCAACAUAAAGAAAAACACAUCGAGCAUGGCCACGCAUUUUACAGCGACAUCACCCCGGUGUUUCACUGACAGGAGUGAAACCGAAAGCGGCUCAACAACCGCUCAUCACCGCGGCAUUUAAGCAGCCCCUUCUUCCACAAUCAGACCGGGCUAAAGCAAUCACAAACGCUAUUUUUUUAUUUUUUUUGCUGAUCCGAAAAAUGAUCCGAUCCGUGACUCUUGAUCCGAGGAACGAUCCGAACCGUGAGUUUUUUGAUCCGUUGCACCCCUAGUUUUGAGUGAUUUAACUUGUACACACUGGGUGCAUAAUAAUGUAAAGGUACACUGAAUAGCAGUAAUGACCAACAGCAACAAACAGAUCUCCUCAAGGUAAGUCUGUUGGCUGUGUUUUUAUGAAGACCAUCGCUGGACUUCAGGAUCUUCCUCCGUUCAGCUCAAGGUGAGGCGCUGGUUCUGUUUUUUCUUUGGUUGGUUCCGGCCGGAAUGUUCGGAUUCCAGUCGGACGGUUUGUGCUUCCCGCCGUGGAAGGUUCUGAGUGCGCUCGCUUGAUUAAGUCUCAAUGGUUAGCAUAGAACGUUGUAGUCUUGACAACCAAAAGAACCCACGUGGCCCUUAGUUGGACGUGAAUCCCCUGAGGGUAUCUGGCGGAACGUUCUAGAUGUAUUUGCGUAUCUUCGAGCCGUUGCCAACAGAAACUAUUUUUCAGUCGGUUUCCAUUAGGAAUUGUUGCCCCUUAUCUUAAACUACUUACGUUUGAUAUUGAAUACAGACUGACGCGUACAUCGUACAAUAUGUUGAUAAUUGACUGUUGCGCCGACUUUAACCACGUUGACGGGACUCUCGCUGCGUUCAAAACAGCGUUCUACUUGCGGGCCCAUUUCUGAUCAUCAGUGAAGGCUGAAGAUAAUUUCAAGGUGGAUGACAAUUUGGCAUUUCUUCGACGGAACCCUGCACCUGAAUAUGGCUGAGUAUAUUUGAUUUAAUAUCGAUACUGCUUAGUGUUCUUUGUUACUUCAGCUUUCGUACGUUCUAAAUAUCUGGUGUCAAUAAUUGCCACAGAAGUAAAACCCUACCCAAUGGAAUGACGUUAAACUACAACUUUGGUGCUUGGUUACCAACUGGAUAAUAACAAAGCUAAAAUAAUGUCCGUCUUUCCCACAUGUUACAGUAGAAGAAACUCUAGAACUGUAUAAGGUUAAAAAGGUAACAUGUUUGUCCCAAGGUGUCUGCCUCCUCACCCAGAGCCAGACCUCCACCUCCUCACCCAGAGCCAGACCUCCACCUCCUCACCCAGAGCCAGACCUCCACCUCCUCACCCAGAGCCAGACCUCCACCUCCUCACCCAGAGCCAGACCUCCACCUCCUGUCAGAAGUCCUCCAGAACUGCUGAAAGGCGAGGCUGAGAGGCUGGGGACCGGCUUGUGGUGCCAGGAUGGACCGGAGACUGAGGCUGGAGACCAGGGGCCUGCAGCACCGGGCCAGAAGGUGAUUUACUGCUGAGACCAACUGUUUGUGACCAGACCAGGAAUCCAUGGCUGAAGGGGCUGAUGGAGGAGCCAUGCUGAAGAACCUGCCUGAUGGAGAAGCCGUGCUGAAGGCCCUUCCGGGUGAAGGAGCUGAUGGAGGCCCUGCCUGGUGGAGGAGCUGAUGGAGGCCCUGCCUGGUGGAGGAACUGAUGGAGGCCCUGCCUGGUGGAGGCUUUCUGUCAUUGGACCAGGACUCUGGCUGAGGAGUGCUGAUGGAGGAGCCAAGACUCUGGAGGACGACAUCACUCUACCAACAAGGAUCCAAAGGGCGCCCCCAACGCAUUUGUCGCCCUAGGCUGUCGCCUAGCUCGCCUAUGCCGAUCGCCGGCCCUGGAGAAGCCAUACAUCUGGAAGGCAAAUCCUGAGGACGACCAGGACUCUACCAUCAAGGAUUCCUCACACACCUGAGCUGAACCUCACCUGAUCCUGUUUGGUCGGGGUCAGACUCACCUGAGCUGAACCCCACCUGAUCCUGCUGGUCCCGUCUCCUCAGUUCAUCUUGGCCUCGUCUUCCAGAAGACCUGCUGAACUCAGCGGUCUGAUCCUGAUGGAUCAUUGACCUCCAGUGGGAGUGAUCUUCUUGACCCCACAUGUACCCGUGUGCUUCCACACGCCUUACCCUCACGUCUGUCACUAACCGCACUACUUCACUAAUCUCUGCUCCUUACCUUCUUCUUCCUUCUCCGUGGUUCGAACCUUUACUCUGAAGGAGUGUCUUCUUGAACCUUUACACGGAAGGACCGUCUUCCUGCCCUCAGAGGGUUCAGCGUUAGGGUUGAGAGUCAGGGUUUAGAGUCAGGGACAGAGCUGGUCAGGGAGGACUGGUUUUACACAAACCCCUUCAUUUGCUUUUGUGAAUGGUGGUGACAUUUUGAAAUUAUUAAUUUGGGAAAAUGUUUUCCUCUGCUUUCCUUUACAAAAGUAUGUAUUCAACUUUGUCAAGUGUUUUUCUUUAUACUGUAUAUUAAAAUCUUACAUUGA